AAGUCGUAACAAGGUUUCCGUAGGUGAACCUGCGGAAGGAUCAUUAACAAAAAGUAUAGAAAAAAGAGAGAGAGAGGGAAAAGGGAGCUUCUUUUUUUUCUCUCUCUCUCUUUUUUUGACACAUUGUGCACUUUAUGACUAUUUUUAUUUUCAUAUAUAUAACAAAAUACAACUUUUAACAAUGGAUCUCUUGGCUCUU
RNAcentral lists this unclassified non-coding RNA (199 nucleotides) under fungal sp. RNAcentral's name for it is "partial internal transcribed spacer region". The stretch from base 1 to 46 matches the Rfam family "Eukaryotic small subunit ribosomal RNA", at positions 1786 to 1831 of the family's 1831-position model. Lineage: Eukaryota; Fungi. The record is from RNAcentral.